CCCCGGGGCGCGGCCCGCCGCCGAGCAGCCCGCCGCCGAGACGCCGCCCGCGGCCAGGAAGGCCCCCCGGGCCGGGUGCGCAGAUAAAGUCGCUGGUAAAGCUCCCAAAGAAGAGAAGGAGGAGGAGGAAGUGGCCGGCGUGCUCAGCCAUGGCUCUCCCGUGGGCACAGCCCGGCCCGGCCGGAGUUGGCGCAGCAGCCGGACGGCGGCCACCGCUCGCCAGCGCGACUCCGAGAAUUCCCGUGCCUCCAGAUCCAAGGCUGGCUCCCUGCAGCUCAUCUGCAAGUCAGAGCCCAACGCCGACCAGCUGGAGUACGUGGUCACAGAAGAGCAUCAGUCUCCAGAUGGAGUCAGCGAUGAUGAUGA
RNAcentral lists this long non-coding RNA (366 nucleotides) under Lonchura striata (white-rumped munia). RNAcentral describes it as "domestica (Bengalese finch) lncRNA (ENSLSDG00000004329.1)". The record is from RNAcentral. Lineage: Eukaryota; Metazoa; Chordata; Aves; Passeriformes; Estrildidae.